RNAcentral lists this ribosomal RNA (485 nucleotides) under uncultured bacterium. RNAcentral describes it as "partial 16S ribosomal RNA". It matches the Rfam family "Bacterial small subunit ribosomal RNA", at positions 899 to 1397 of the family's 1533-position model. The record is from RNAcentral.
ACUCAAAUGAAUAGACGGGGGCCCGCACAAGCAGCGGAGCGUGUGGUUUAAUUCGAGGUUACGCGAAGAACCUUACCAGGGUUUGACAUGCAGGUAGUAGGGAUCCGAAAGGUGACCGACCCUUCGGGGAGCCUGCACAGGUGCUGCAUGGCUGUCGUCAGCUCGUGCCGUGAGGUGUCCGGUUAAGUCCGGUAACGAGCGCAACCCUUACUCUGUGUUACAUGUGUCACAGGGGACUGCCGGUAUCAAGCCGGAGGAAGGUGGGGAUGACGUCAAGUCAGCAUGGCCUUUAUGCCCUGGGCUACACACACGCUACAAUGGCCGGUACAAUGGGUCGCAAAGCCGCGAGGCGGAGCCAAUCCACAAAGCCGGUCUCAGUUCGGAUCGUAGGCUGCAACCCGCCUACGUGAAGUCGGAGUUGCUAGUAAACGCAGGUCAGCACUACUGCGUUGAAUACGUUCCCGGGCCUUGUACACACCGCCCGU